CACCGGCGGCUCGAGUGGUAACCGCUAUUAUUUGGUCUAAAGGGUCUGUAGCCGGCUUAGUUAGUCCCUUGAGAAAUCUGGCCGCUCAACGGUCAGGCGUUCAGGGGAUACUGCUAAAGCUCGAGACCGGGAGAGGUGAGAGGUACUUCAGGGGUAGGGGUGAAAUCUUGUAAUCCCUGGAGGACCACCAGUGGCGAAGGCGUCUUACCAGAACGGAUCUGACGGCAAGGGACGAAAGCUAGGGG
RNAcentral lists this ribosomal RNA (245 nucleotides) under uncultured archaeon. RNAcentral describes it as "partial 16S ribosomal RNA". It matches the Rfam family "Archaeal small subunit ribosomal RNA", at positions 474 to 717 of the family's 1478-position model. The record is from RNAcentral.